UACAAGUGCUGGCAAGCCACACUGUAUCUGCAUUGAACCGUUCAUUAGAACAGUAUAGUAUGCACUUUCUGCUAUGCUAGCUUAGUCACACAAGACAAUGGCCCGGUGAAGCCGGUGAUGGGAACCAGCCUUAACCAAUCAGAAUGAAGUAAACAGGUGUAUCAAUCAUAUAGUAAUAAGUAACCUGUGUGAUGUCAAUCAUGUAAUGCUGAGAACCAGUCUGUAAGAAAGAGAAUAAAAGCAGCGGUCUGGGACUAUACCAGGACGCCUCACUGCAACACCGUCUCUGUUUCCCGUUACUACAUCUGGUGACCCCGACGUGAUCCAGACACAAGACCCCCGACUCAUCGGCUGGCAUAGCCUUGGUGCACCUCAGCGCAGUGCGCUCCCUCAUUGCUGCAGUAUUACAACACAUUCGAACCCACAAGCCGACCCUUUUUAUCUAGAGCCCAGCGCCAUUAUAGACAGACCGAGC
Molecule: long non-coding RNA, 475 nt
Organism: Mauremys reevesii (Reeves's turtle)
Lineage: Eukaryota; Metazoa; Chordata; Testudines; Geoemydidae
Exons: 3
Source: RefSeq, a predicted model, not a curated record